RNAcentral lists this long non-coding RNA (775 nucleotides) under Homo sapiens (human). RNAcentral describes it as "HSALNT0339213". The record is from RNAcentral. Lineage: Eukaryota; Metazoa; Chordata; Mammalia; Primates; Hominidae.
GCAUAACGGGUGUUAUUUAGCUAAGUGGUGCCUGCCCAGUAGGUGCUCAGGAUCCAGGGAGAGAGGCAGACUCAACAUGCAAACAACUCUUCUAUGAGGGUUUUUGCCUACAUUCUAGACUAACCCUGUUUAUCCCCGUGAACCAACCAGUGAUCUCUGGCUGUAUCUCAGAAGAAACAGACAGAUGGGUAAUAUAAAGAUCUAGAUCAAUAGUCUAGUUCUGGACAAUUAUCCUGCAAAGCCUGCAAGGUGAUCUGCCCUAGUACGUCACUGAAGAGAGACUAAAGAAAAAAUUGUCUAAUUUCAUAGGACAUUAUAGAUCCUGUGAGUCUUCUAAGGUACCUCCCUGCUUGCUAGGGCAUAGGAAUUUGCACAUGGGAAUCUACAGUCUUUUAUGCCAAGAAACAAUUCCCAGAAAUCAUUUCCUUCUCAAGUGGCUUUCUGGCCUCCCUGGAGCUCAACACAGUUUUUAGGGCUCAAGGUCCCUCUUUCUAUUUAUUUUCUGCUCCCAUCAUUUCUUUAUUUUUCCUUCCUGACCAAGAUGUUUUUUUUUUUCUUUUUUAUUACAGGAACAAAAAGACAUAUUAUUUUCUGCCUGUUCCUUGUGGGAAAAAAUUCAAAUUUUCUAAAUUUUAUAAGGGCUGCAAUUUCCGAAAUAUUCUUCCAUUCAUUCAGGAAGUACUUGAAUAUCUACUAAAUGCCAACCACUCUUUUCUGGAUGUUUAGCAGUAAGCAAAAACAAAGUUAUGCUUGUGGAAAGAAACAAAAAAAAUAA